ACAUUAAAUGCAGCGGAUCCGCAUGGAUAUGGUUGUUAAAAGGGUUUUAUCGGCCUUGGGAUAGGCUUGCGUCUGAUUAGCUAGUUGGUAGUGGUAAACGGGCACACCAAGGCUACGAUCAGUAAACUGGUCUGAGAGGAUGAUCAGUCACACUGGAACUGAGACACGGUCCAGACUCCUACGGGAGGCAGCAGUGAGGAAUAUUGGGCAAUGCUCGAAAGAGUGACCCAGCAACGCCGCGUGGAGGAUGAAGGUAUUCUAUAUCGUAAACUCCUGUGAGAGCAGACGAAAGACAGAUUAUUAAUCUGGAUGACUGUAUGCUCAGAGGAAGCCCCGGCUAACUACGUG
This 348-nucleotide ribosomal RNA is filed under the name uncultured bacterium. Its description in RNAcentral is "bacterial SSU rRNA". It matches the Rfam family "Bacterial small subunit ribosomal RNA", at positions 168 to 507 of the family's 1533-position model. The record is from RNAcentral.